GGACUUUAUGCAGCUAAUGAAGAUUAAUAAGUGGAGUGGAGGUGAACCUUUUAGAGGACUAACAGGUCUUUGAGGGCCAGAAUUUUGCUGAUUGGCAGGUGUUCAAAUACUUAUUUGCAGCAGUAACACAAAUAAAUUAUUAAAAAAUCACACAUUAUGAUUUCAGGAUUUUUUUAGUUCAUGUCUCUCACAGUGGGCAUGCACCAAAGAUGAGAAUUUCAGACCCCUCCAUGAUUUUGAAGUGGGAGAACGUGAAAAGUCGUAAGUUGUUCAAAUACUUAUUUUCCUCACUGUAUUUCUUUAGGUAAAAUUCCUAUGGUGUCAUUACUAACAGCUGGAAUCUGACAUUUA
Long non-coding RNA from Xiphophorus hellerii (green swordtail), 351 nucleotides. RefSeq lists it as uncharacterized. The record is from RefSeq and is a predicted model, not a curated record. The transcript has 3 exons. NCBI's taxonomy places the organism in Eukaryota, Metazoa, Chordata, Actinopteri, Cyprinodontiformes, Poeciliidae.